UGAGGAAUAUUGGGCAAUGCCCGCAAGGGUGACCCAGCAACGCCGCGUGGAGGAUGAAUGUCGUAAGAUUGUAAACUCCUGUUAGAGGGGAAGAAUAGUACCGGUUGGACCGGUAUAUGACUGUACCCUCAGAGAAAGCCCCGGCUAACUACGUGCCAGCAGCCGCGGUAAUACGUAGGGGGCAAGCGUUGUCCGGAUUUACUGGGUGUAAAGGGCGCGCAGGCGGGAUAAAAAGUCAGUGGUGAAAUCCUACAGCUUAACUGUAGAACUGCCUUUGAUACUUUUAUUCUUGAGUUCGGGAGAGAGAGACGGAAUUCCAGGUGUAGUGGUGAAAUACGUAGAUAUCUGGAAGAACACCAGUUGCGAAGGCGGUCUCUUGGUCCGACACUGACGCUGAGGAGCGAAAGCAUGGGGAGCGAACA
RNAcentral lists this ribosomal RNA (422 nucleotides) under uncultured bacterium. RNAcentral describes it as "bacterial SSU rRNA". It matches the Rfam family "Bacterial small subunit ribosomal RNA", at positions 355 to 774 of the family's 1533-position model. The record is from RNAcentral.